UGUCGGGUUGUCUAAUGGCAGGACAGCGGCCUUUGGAGCCGUUAGUAGAGGUUCGAAUCCUCUCCCGACAG
This 71-nucleotide transfer RNA is filed under the name Ignavibacteria bacterium. RNAcentral describes it as "tRNA-Gln". It matches the Rfam family "tRNA". From Rfam's summary of the family: Transfer RNA (tRNA) molecules are approximately 80 nucleotides in length. Their secondary structure includes four short double-helical elements and three loops (D, anti-codon, and T loops). RNAcentral also lists the same sequence under 1 other name. The record is from RNAcentral. Lineage: Bacteria; Pseudomonadati; Ignavibacteriota; Ignavibacteria.